CUUAAAGGCCAUACCACCCUGAACGCGCCCGAUCUCAUCUGAUCUCGGAAGCUAUGCAGGGUUGGGCCUAGUUAGUACUUGGAUGGGAGAGAUCUACAAUGUAAAGGAGCACAUACAGGA
RNAcentral lists this ribosomal RNA (120 nucleotides) under Castor canadensis (American beaver). The record is from RNAcentral. Lineage: Eukaryota; Metazoa; Chordata; Mammalia; Rodentia; Castoridae.